RNAcentral lists this ribosomal RNA (490 nucleotides) under uncultured bacterium. RNAcentral describes it as "partial 16S ribosomal RNA". It matches the Rfam family "Bacterial small subunit ribosomal RNA", at positions 30 to 507 of the family's 1533-position model. The record is from RNAcentral.
AUUGAACGCUGGCGGCAGGCCUAACACAUGCAGGUCGAACGGUAACAGGAAGAAGCUUGCUUCUUUGCUGACGAGUGGCGGACGGGUGAGUAAUGUCUGGGAAACUGCCUGAUGGAGGGGGAUAACUACUGGAAACGGUAGCUAAUACCGCAUAACGUCGCAAGACCAAAGAGGGGGACCUUCGGGCCUCUUGCCAUCGGAUGUGCCCAGAUGGGAUUAGCUAGUAGGUGGGGUAACGGCUCACCUAGGCGACGAUCCCUAGCUGGUCUGAGAGGGUGACCAGCCACACUGGAACUGAGACACGGUCCAGACUCCUACGGGAGGCAGCAGUGGGGAAUAUUGCACAAUGGGCGCAAGCCUGAUGCAGCCAUGCCGCGUGUAUGAAGAAGGCCUUCGGGUUGUAAAGUACUUUCAGCGGGGAGGAAGGGAGUAAAGUUAAUACCUUUGCUCAUUGACGUUACCCGCAGAAGAAGCACCGGCUAACUCCGUG